Pelobates cultripes (western spadefoot toad) is the source of this 298-nucleotide non-coding RNA. NCBI's taxonomy places the organism in Eukaryota, Metazoa, Chordata, Amphibia, Anura, Pelobatidae. The record is from the annotation of a GenBank genome assembly.
GUACAAUUUAUGGAAAUGUGCUACCAAGGGGUACUCAGGUGAAAAAAAGGUUGACAACCACGGUCAUAAAGAAACAAUGGAGCAUGGCCAUUGAUGGACUGUCUGGCUGAAAUACAGGAAGCAGGGAGAUAUGAUAUGUAGUCACAUGAGAAGAUAAACUGCUCACAGUAAAGAUUUAGUAAAAUGAAAAUCCAGCACACUCCCUUAUCUACUAAACAGCUGAUAGAUUUUGCUAGUUUUAUUAAAAACACAUAAUCUAGGCAAAAAAUAAUGGGGGUUUAGUUACAUUAUAUAAUCA